Molecule: ribosomal RNA, 433 nt
Filed under: uncultured bacterium
Lineage: Bacteria
Description: partial 16S ribosomal RNA
Rfam family: Bacterial small subunit ribosomal RNA
Source: RNAcentral
AACGAACGCUGGCGGCAUGCCUAACACAUGCAAGUCGAACGAAGGCUUCGGCCUUAGUGGCGCACGGGUGCGUAACGCGUGGGAAUCUGCCCUUUGGUUCGGAAUAACAGCUGGAAACGGCUGCUAAUACCGGAUGAUGACGAAAGUCCAAAGAUUUAUCGCCAGAGGAUGAGCCCGCGUUGGAUUAGGUAGUUGGUGGGGUAAAGGCCUACCAAGCCGACGAUCCAUAGCUGGUCUGAGAGGAUGAUCAGCCACACUGGGACUGAGACACGGCCCAGACUGCUACGGGCGGCAGCAGUGGGGAAUAUUGGACAAUGGGCGCAAGCCUGAUCCAGCAAUGCCGCGUGAGUGAUGAAGGCGCUAGGGUUGUAAAGCUCUUUUACCCGGGAAGAUAAUGACUGUACCGGGAGAAUAAGCCCCGGCUAACUACGUG